AGAGAGGGAUAAAGGAGGCUCAAAUUAGUUUUGAUUUAAAUAAUAAUAAUAAUCUAUGAGCUAGAAAAUUGGGUCAUAUUAAUUGCAUAUAAAAUAAAAAUGAAAGCACUACCUUAUGGAUGGAAAGAUAUGUGGAAAGGAAAACAUGAAUGCAGGUAACCUAAGUAAUGACUGUCAACAAAAAGACCAUUUCAUAUCAUUGAGGUUGAGAGAAUAAACACAUUUUGCAGCAACUGCAUCUCCUCAUUUGUCUGUUAAAGCUUCCUGUAUAAGCUGGCUGGUGGCGAUGAAGGGAAAUGUCUCUCACCACGCAACUCAUCAUGGGAUGCAUCAGGACAUAGUGACAAUUGUCACACACAGGAUUUAGAAUUUUAUGGACCUAGAUCUGGGUUCAUACUCCCUAACCCAUGGUAUUCUGUGAACUUGAUACAUUGCUAUCCCCUCUGAAUUUUACUUUUCUCAUCAUAAAAAGUGAGAA
Molecule: long non-coding RNA, 478 nt
Organism: Neofelis nebulosa (Clouded leopard)
Lineage: Eukaryota; Metazoa; Chordata; Mammalia; Carnivora; Felidae
Exons: 3
Source: RefSeq, a predicted model, not a curated record